GUGAGGAAUAUUGGACAAUGGGUGGAAGCCUGAUCCAGCCAUCCCGCGUGUAGGACGACUGCCUUAUGGGUUGUAAACUACUUUUAUCUGGGGAUAAACCUACUCACGUGUGAGUAGCUGAAGGUACCAGAAGAAUAAGCACCGGCUAACUCCGUGCCAGCAGCCGCGGUAAUACGGAGGGUGCAAGCGUUAUCCGGAUUUAUUGGGUUUAAAGGGUCCGUAGGCGGAUUAAUCAGUCAGUGGUGAAAUCCCGCAGCUUAACUGUGGAACUGCCAUUGAUACUGUUAGUCUUGAGUGAUGUUGAAGUGGCUGGAAUGUGUAGUGUAGCGGUGAAAUGCUUAGAUAUUACGCAGAACACCAAUUGCGAAGGCAGGUCACUAAGUAUCAACUGACGCUGAUGGACGAAAGCGUGGGGAGCGAACAGGAUUAGAAACCCUUGUAGUCC
RNAcentral lists this ribosomal RNA (445 nucleotides) under uncultured bacterium. Its description in RNAcentral is "bacterial SSU rRNA". It matches the Rfam family "Bacterial small subunit ribosomal RNA", at positions 354 to 796 of the family's 1533-position model. The record is from RNAcentral.